RNAcentral lists this ribosomal RNA (496 nucleotides) under uncultured bacterium. RNAcentral describes it as "partial 16S ribosomal RNA". It matches the Rfam family "Bacterial small subunit ribosomal RNA", at positions 29 to 507 of the family's 1533-position model. The record is from RNAcentral.
ACGAACGCUGGCGGCGUGCCUAAUACAUGCAAGUUGAGCGCUGAAGGUUGGUACUUGUACCAACUGGAUGAGCAGCGAACGGGUGAGUAACGCGUGGGGAAUCUGCCUUUGAGCGGGGGACAACAUUUGGAAACGAAUGCUAAUACCGCAUAAAAACUUUAAACACAAGUUUUAAGUUUGAAAGAUGCAAUUGCAUCACUCAAAGAUGAUCCCGCGUUGUAUUAGCUAGUUGGUGAGGUAAAGGCUCACCAAGACGAUGAUACAUAGCCGACCUGAGAGGGUGAUCGGCCACAUUGGGACUGAGACACGGCCCAAACUCCUACGGGAGGCAGCAGUAGGGAAUCUUCGGCAAUGGACGAAAGUCUGAACGAGCAACGCCGCGUGAGUGAAGAAGGUUUUCGGAUCGUAAAACUCUGUUGGUAGAGAAGAACGUUGGUGAGAGUGGAAAGCUCAUCAAGUGACGGUAACUACCCAGAAAGGGACGGCUAACUACGUG